This 460-nucleotide ribosomal RNA is filed under the name uncultured bacterium. Its description in RNAcentral is "partial 16S ribosomal RNA". It matches the Rfam family "Bacterial small subunit ribosomal RNA", at positions 338 to 795 of the family's 1533-position model. The record is from RNAcentral.
CCUACGGGUGGCUGCAGUGAGGAAUAUUGGUCAAUGGGCGCAAGCCUGAACCAGCCAAGUCGCGUGAGGGAUGACGGCCCUACGGAUUGUAAACCUCUUUUGCCGGGGAGCAAGCGUGCGUUCGUGUCCGCGCGCCGAGAGUACCCGGAGAAAAAGCAUCGGCUAACUCCGUGCCAGCAGCCGCGGUAAUACGGAGGAUGCGAGCGUUAUCCGGAUUUAUUGGGUUUAAAGGGUGCGUAGGCGGGAUGUUAAGUCAGCGGUAAAAAUGCGGGGCUCAACGCCGUCGGGCCGUUGAAACUGGCGGUCUUGAGUGGGCGAGAAGUAGGCGGAAUGCGUGGUGUAGCGGUGAAAUGCAUAGAUAGCACGCAGAACCCCGAUUGCGAAGGCAGCAUACCGGCGCCCUACUGACGCUGAGGCACGAAAGCGUGGGGAUCGAACAGGAUUAGAUACCCUUGUAGUC